Molecule: ribosomal RNA, 491 nt
Filed under: uncultured bacterium
Lineage: Bacteria
Description: partial 16S ribosomal RNA
Rfam family: Bacterial small subunit ribosomal RNA
Source: RNAcentral
AGUGAACGCUGGCGGUAGGCCUAACACAUGCAAGUCGAACGGCAGCACAGUAAGAGCUUGCUCUUACGGGUGGCGAGUGGCGGACGGGUGAGGAAUACAUCGGAAUCUACUUUUUCGUGGGGGAUAACGUAGGGAAACUUACGCUAAUACCGCAUACGACCUACGGGUGAAAGCAGGGGAACUUCGGACCUUGCGCGAUUGAAUGAGCCGAUGUCGGAUUAGCUAGUUGGCGGGGUAAAGGCCCACCAAGGCGACGAUCCGUAGCUGGUCUGAGAGGAUGAUCAGCCACACUGGAACUGAGACACGGUCCAGACUCCUACGGGAGGCAGCAGUGGGGAAUAUUGGACAAUGGGCGCAAGCCUGAUCCAGCCAUACCGCGUGGGUGAAGAAGGCCUUCGGGUUGUAAAGCCCUUUUGUUGGGAAAGAAAAGCAGCAGGUUAAUACCCCGCUGUUCUGACGGUACCCAAAGAAUAAGCACCGGCUAACUUCGU